UGAGUAGGGUGAAGCCAGGGGAAACUCUGGUGGAAGCUCGUAGCGAUUCUGACGUGCAACCAUUCGCAACCCA
Molecule: non-coding RNA, 73 nt
Filed under: Hyaloperonospora arabidopsidis Emoy2
Lineage: Eukaryota; Oomycota; Peronosporomycetes; Peronosporales; Peronosporaceae
Source: Rfam by way of RNAcentral